GCCUAUGGCCACACUGCUCAGGAUGUGCCUGCUCUUAGAAGCUACGCAGUGCUGGGGCUGGUCGGUACCUGGAUAGGAGACUGCUUGGGUUCACCAGAUGGUGUAGGUU
RNAcentral lists this ribosomal RNA (109 nucleotides) under Monopterus albus (swamp eel). Lineage: Eukaryota; Metazoa; Chordata; Actinopteri; Synbranchiformes; Synbranchidae. The record is from RNAcentral.